Molecule: ribosomal RNA, 206 nt
Filed under: uncultured bacterium
Lineage: Bacteria
Description: partial 16S ribosomal RNA
Rfam family: Bacterial small subunit ribosomal RNA
Source: RNAcentral
CGGACUGCAGUCUGCAACUCGACUGCACGAAGUCGGAAUUGCUAGUAAUCGCGGAUCAGCAUGCCGCGGUGAAUACGUUCCCGGGUCUUGUACACACCGCCCGUCACACCAUGAGAGCCGGAAACACCCGAAGUCCGUAGCCUAACCGCAAGGGGGCGCGGCCGAAGGUGGGUUUGGUAAUUGGGGUGAAGUCGUAACAAGGUACC